This 399-nucleotide ribosomal RNA is filed under the name uncultured Glomeromycotina. RNAcentral describes it as "SSU rRNA". It matches the Rfam family "Eukaryotic small subunit ribosomal RNA", at positions 569 to 974 of the family's 1831-position model. The record is from RNAcentral. Lineage: Eukaryota; Fungi; Glomeromycota.
AGCAGCCGCGGUAAUUCCAGCUCCAAUAGCGUAUAUUAAAGUUGUUGCAGUUAAAAAGCUCGUAGUUGAAUUUCGGGAUUAAUAUGUUGGUCGUGCCUUGGUACGUACUGGCAUUAUUGAUUCCUACCUUCCGAAGAACCUCGAUGUCAUUAAUUUGGUGUCUUGGGGAAUCAGGACUGUUACUUUGAAAAAUUAGAGUGUUUAAAGCAGGCUCGCGCUUGAAUACAUUAGCAUGGAAUAAUGAAAUAGGACGUUUGAUUCUAUUUUGUUGGUUUCUAGGAUCGACGUAAUGAUUAAUAGGGAUAGUUGGGGGCAUUAGUAUUCAAUUGUCAGAGGUGAGAUUCUUGGAUUUAUUGAAGACUGACUACUGCGAAAGCAUUUGCCAAGGAUGUUUUCAUU